GUGGGGAAUAUUGGACAAUGGGCGCAAGCCUGAUCCAGCAAUUCCGCGUGAGCGAAGAAGGCCUUCGGGUUGUAAAGCUCUUUCGGCGGGGACGAUAAUGACGGUACCCGCAGAAGAAGCCCCGGCUAACUCCGUGCCAGCAGCCGCGGUAAUACGGAGGGGGCUAGCGUUGUUCGGAAUCACUGGGCGUAAAGCGCACGUAGGCGGCUACUCCAGUCAGAGGUGAAAGCCCGGGGCUCAACUCCGGAAUUGCCUUUGAAACUAGGUAGCUUGAACGUCGGAGAGGUAAGUGGAAUUCCGAGUGUAGAGGUGAAAUUCGUAGAUAUUCGGAAGAACACCAGUGGCGAAGGCGACUUACUGGACGACUGUUGACGCUGAGGUGCGAAAGCGUGGGGAGCAAACAGGAUUAGAAACCCGGGUAGUCC
RNAcentral lists this ribosomal RNA (425 nucleotides) under uncultured bacterium. RNAcentral's name for it is "partial 16S ribosomal RNA". It matches the Rfam family "Bacterial small subunit ribosomal RNA", at positions 354 to 796 of the family's 1533-position model. The record is from RNAcentral.